UACGAAGGGGGCUAGCGUUGUUCGGAAUUACUGGGCGUAAAGCGUAUGUAGGCGGAUCGUUAAGUCGGGGGUGAAAUCCCGAGGCUCAACCUCGGAACUGCCUUCGAUACUGGCGAUCUUCGAGUCCGGGAGAGGUGAGUGGAACUCCGAGUGUAGAGGUGAAAUUCGUAGAUAUUCGCAAGAACACCAGUGGCGAAGGCGGCUCACUGGCCCGGUACUGACGCUGAGGCACGAAAGCGUGGGGAGCAAACAGG
RNAcentral lists this ribosomal RNA (254 nucleotides) under uncultured bacterium. RNAcentral describes it as "partial 16S ribosomal RNA". It matches the Rfam family "Bacterial small subunit ribosomal RNA", at positions 524 to 776 of the family's 1533-position model. The record is from RNAcentral.